UAGUCCACGCCGUAAGCGAUGUCAACUUACUGUUAGAAAGUUUAACUUUUUAGUGGUGUAGCUAACGCGCUAAGUUGACCGCCUGGGAGUACGGCCGCAAGGCUAAAACUCAAAUGAAUUGACGGGGACCCGCACAAGCGGUGGAGCAUGUGGUUUAAUUCGAUGCAACGCGAAGAACCUUACCUACCCUUGACAUUCUUAGCAGUAUUUGUAAUGAAUAUGUACCUUCGGGAACUAAUGAACAGGUGCUGCAUGGCUGUCGUCAGCUCGUGUUGUGAAAUGUUGGGUUAAGUCCCUUAACGAGCGCAACCCUUAUUCUUUGUUACUAACAUUUAGUUGAGUUCUCUAAGAAGACUGCCAGUGACAAACUGGAGGAAGGUGGGGAUGACGUCAAGUCAUCAUGGCCCUUACGGGUAGGGCUACACACGUGCUACAAUGGGAAAUACAGAGGGUUGCUAACCUGCAAAGGGGGAGCUAAUCUCAUAAAAUUUUCCUCAGUCCAGAUUGGAGUCUGCAACUCGACUCC
RNAcentral lists this ribosomal RNA (526 nucleotides) under uncultured bacterium. RNAcentral describes it as "bacterial SSU rRNA". It matches the Rfam family "Bacterial small subunit ribosomal RNA", at positions 791 to 1319 of the family's 1533-position model. The record is from RNAcentral.